GGGGACGUAGCUCAGUCGGCAGAGCAGCUGCCUUUUAAGCAGCGGGUCGUAGGUUCGAUUCCUACCGUCCUCA
Molecule: transfer RNA, 73 nt
Filed under: Planctomycetota bacterium
Lineage: Bacteria; Pseudomonadati; Planctomycetota
Description: Planctomycetes bacterium (bioreactor metagenome) tRNA-Lys
Rfam family: tRNA
About the family: Transfer RNA (tRNA) molecules are approximately 80 nucleotides in length. Their secondary structure includes four short double-helical elements and three loops (D, anti-codon, and T loops).
Source: RNAcentral